GUUCUAGGAGUCUUCGGUGGGCUACUUACGGAGCUAUUUCUGGUCUAUUUUUCUAGUCUGCUGCAGUUUCUAGCAACUACCGCUUCCUGCAAUCCCUGUUUCUGUUCAGCUGUUGCUAUUUCUACAGGCUGUUGUUUUUGCUUUGCUCAACCGGUCUAGCAAGUGAUAUCAUCAUCAAAGUUUGAGAAAUAUCCUUCCAUCUCCACAAGAAGUGAUUUGAUGCCUUCUAUUUUAGUCAUCUCAUCUUUAAAAAAUAUGAAGAAUACCGAUUGUCAUAUGAGCCUUUUUUAACAUAUCUACAGUUGGAAACCUUGAAGGGACAACUGAAGCAAUCGCUAAAUGAUGAUAGUUCACAACAAAGUGAGACUGUUGACAUUGAAACUUGUGACUAUUCGCUUCCUAAAACCUAUUUUGAUAAAGUAUGCAUUUUACAUUCUCAUUGUUGGUGCUGCAAUUUGGGCAACUUCUUGGGCAGAUAUCAUGUUGGAUAUGGACUAGAGAGACGAUCAACUAAAAAGAAGAUCAAGUAUUCAUAAGCAGCUUUAAACCAAUUGUUCAAAUUUGAGUUGUGUUUGCUUUUUUGUGGAAUCGAGAUCAUUACAAGGAUAUUCAUCAACAUUGAACCUAAAUGUACUUUGAUGUUUACCUGUAAUUGAAAAUGAUCUUUUACAUAUAAAUAUGUGGUUCUUUGGCUUAA
Long non-coding RNA from Mercurialis annua (annual mercury), 697 nucleotides. RefSeq lists it as uncharacterized. The record is from RefSeq and is a predicted model, not a curated record. The transcript has 6 exons. Lineage: Eukaryota; Viridiplantae; Streptophyta; Magnoliopsida; Malpighiales; Euphorbiaceae.